CUGCUACAGAUUGCACACGUGUGUGUGCGUGUGCAUGUGCGCGUGUGUGUGUGUGUGUGUGUGUGUGUGUGUGUGUGUGUGUGUGUGUGUGUGUGUGUGUGUGUGUG
Molecule: microRNA precursor, 107 nt
Filed under: Poecilia formosa (Amazon molly)
Lineage: Eukaryota; Metazoa; Chordata; Actinopteri; Cyprinodontiformes; Poeciliidae
Description: miRNA (ENSPFOG00000021249.1)
Source: RNAcentral